RNAcentral lists this ribosomal RNA (377 nucleotides) under uncultured bacterium. RNAcentral describes it as "bacterial SSU rRNA". It matches the Rfam family "Bacterial small subunit ribosomal RNA", at positions 521 to 896 of the family's 1533-position model. The record is from RNAcentral.
UAAUACAGAGGGUGCGAGCGUUAAUCGGAAUCACUGGGCGUAAAGGGUGCGUAGGUGGUCAAAUAAGUCAGAUGUGAAAUCCCUGGGCUCAACCUAGGCAUUGCAUUUGGUACUGUUUGGCUAGAGUGCAGUAGAGGAAUGUGGAAUUUCCGGUGUAGCGGUGAAAUGCGUAGAUAUCGGAAGGAACAUCAGUGGCGAAGGCGACAUUCUGGACUGUAACUGACACUGAGGCACGAAAGCGUGGGGAGCGAACAGGAUUAGAUACCCUGGUAGUCCACGCCGUAAACUAUGAGAACUGGAUGUUUGGGGGCUUAGUCUCCUAAGUAUCGAAGCUAACGCGUUAAGUUCUCCGCCUGGGGAGUACGGCCGCAAGGUUA